UAAAUUAAUGAAGUCAUAAUUAUAUUCUGUAAUUUAAUACAAAUAUUUAUUUAUACAAAUAAUAAAGUCUUUGCUUGAUAUACACAAAUCUAUGUGAGAAUGCAGGAAUAUUUUGUGUAAUAUACAAGAAAAUCUAUAAAUAUUAAUCACUCUGUGUAUACUGUGCUUGGAAGCAGAAGAGAUUGAUAAAUCAUUAAAUAAGAAAAUGAUAAAGAUUAAAAGGCUUUAAUAUAGUUAAAUUAUAAUAAAGAUAUAUCCAGUUUGUAUAUUUAUAAUUUUCUUUAGUAAAAUAUUACUUUCUUUGGUUAUUAUAUAUAUAAAAAAAAAGAUUUCUAAAAUCUACAAAGUAGAAAUUAUAAUGUUUUAAGAAAUUAUUGAAAUGUUUAAAUUAAUAUUUUUUGAUACUCGUAUUUUACACAAUUUAGUUUACACUUCUAAAAUAAAUGUAUGUUAUACUUUGCUGAUGUGUGUGUUGUAUUUUAGGAAUGAAGUCAUUUUAUAAUAGCAAUUUUGCGUAGCUCUGUGAAGUGCCAGCUAUGCAAAAUAAAUAUACUGUUGUCAAAAUAAAA
Long non-coding RNA from Vespula pensylvanica (western yellowjacket), 569 nucleotides. RefSeq lists it as uncharacterized. The transcript has 2 exons. Lineage: Eukaryota; Metazoa; Arthropoda; Insecta; Hymenoptera; Vespidae. The record is from RefSeq and is a predicted model, not a curated record.